CCGGCGCACGGGUGAGUAACGCGUAUGCAACUUACCUAUCAGAGGGGGAUAACCCGGCGAAAGUCGGACUAAUACCGCAUGAAGCAGGGAUCCCGCAUGGGAAUAUUUGCUAAAGAUUCAUCGCUGAUAGAUAGGCAUGCGUUCCAUUAGGCAGUUGGCGGGGUAACGGCCCACCAAACCGACGAUGGAUAGGGGUUCUGAGAGGAAGGUCCCCCACAUUGGAACUGAGACACGGUCCAA
This 240-nucleotide ribosomal RNA is filed under the name uncultured bacterium. RNAcentral's name for it is "partial 16S ribosomal RNA". It matches the Rfam family "Bacterial small subunit ribosomal RNA", at positions 95 to 334 of the family's 1533-position model. The record is from RNAcentral.